UCUCUCUCUCUCUCUGUGGUGCGGACGCAGGCAUAUUUCAUUGAAAAGCACAAAGCAACACAGUGCCAGAAUUAGUAGCCUCGAUCUAAUGAGUUGUUGCAGACAACAAUGGAUUUCUCGGAGGUUGAGUAGAGAUCGAGAUCGAGUUCUUUAUCAUUGGGCGAGUGGAUCUGCGUGGCAUUUAUACUGUUUGUAGCGAUCAUAGAGGUGUUGAUUUUUGCUGUGACCGGUUGCUUCAGCGGCCGUCCCUGCCCAACCAAACGCCGUUUCGUUUUCGGAGAUAUGUUGUCAUUGCCGAUGAAACUAGAUUUACUAUUAAUGAGCUGGAGGUAUUGUAUGAGCUGUUUAAAAAGUUGUGUAGUUCAAUCAUCAAUGACAGAUGAAUUCAUAAGGAAGAGUUUCAACUAGCACUAUUCAGAAUUCCCUAUGGUGAAAAUCUUUUCAUGGACAGGGUAUAUGCUUCAUACCAACAUCUUGAACUAAUUGACUAGGAUAUAUAUAAUUCCCUGCACCUACUUACACGAACUGGAUUUUGCUUUUCUAGGUUUUUGAUCUCUUUGAUGAAAAGAAAAUGGUGUCUUUGAAUUUGAUGACUUUGUUCAUUCACUCAAUGUCUA
This is a non-coding RNA of Prunus mume (Japanese apricot), 617 nucleotides long. The record is from RefSeq and is a predicted model, not a curated record. Lineage: Eukaryota; Viridiplantae; Streptophyta; Magnoliopsida; Rosales; Rosaceae.